UACGAGAGGGCAAGCGUUGUCCGGAUUUACUGGGCGUAAAGCGCACGUAGGCGGAUCUUUAAGUCAGGGGUGAAAUCCUGGAGCUCAACUCCAGAACUGCCUUUGAUACUGAGGACCUUGAGUUCGGGAGAGGUGAGUGGAACUGCGAGUGUAGAGGUGAAAUUCGUAGAUAUUCGCAAGAACACCAGUGGCGAAGGCGGCUCACUGGCCCGAUACUGACGCUGAGGUGCGAAAGCGUGGGGAGCGAACAGG
RNAcentral lists this ribosomal RNA (252 nucleotides) under uncultured bacterium. RNAcentral's name for it is "partial 16S ribosomal RNA". It matches the Rfam family "Bacterial small subunit ribosomal RNA", at positions 524 to 776 of the family's 1533-position model. The record is from RNAcentral.